This is a long non-coding RNA of Dermacentor silvarum, 4673 nucleotides long. RefSeq lists it as uncharacterized. Lineage: Eukaryota; Metazoa; Arthropoda; Arachnida; Ixodida; Ixodidae. The record is from RefSeq and is a predicted model, not a curated record. The transcript has 4 exons.
AAAUAAGGAAGACUGUGUGUUAUCGUGGCAAUUCUGGAGGGUAACUGAUUCCAUUCUUUUAUUGAUAAGGUUAACGGCGAAUUGUUGGACUUUUCCGUCCGGGCAAAGAUAGGGUUAACUUUGUAGGCAUGAUCGAUGCGAUGUGAAGUAUGAGGUGACGGUAAAAUGUGUGACCGGGCAAAUGAUGUGUUGCUGUGAUACAGUGUGUGAAAAAAGCAUAAUCUGGCGAAUUUUCUGCGCAUUGCGAGUGGCGGCAUGUUGAGUGUUUGCUUCAAAGAUGAAACGCUUUGAAAUCGGGAGUAGGAUGACAUGAUGAAUCGCGCUGCUUUAUUCUGGACGGCUUCGAGUAGAUUGGUAAGGGCGAUCUGGUAGGGAUGCCAAAUGACUGAUGCAUAUUCCAGGGAGGGACGCACGAAGAAAGUGUACGCUUGAAGCCUGGUGUCCCUGUCGGCCAGAUGCAAGCGUCGCUUCAGAAAGCCAAGUUUCUUUUGCGCUUUAGUUGUGAUAUAUUUUAUAUGGUCAGUCCAUGUUAAGCUAGAAUUUAUGUAGACACCGAGGUAUUUAGCCGAUGUAACCGAGUUUACUAUGCUAUUGUUUAAAAUAUAAGUAUUAGUUUGAGACUUUGGAACGGAAGUGAAGUUCAGGUGAUUGGUCUUUUCUGUGUUAAUUUGCAUCUGCCAUUUGCAGCACCAUUCCGUUAGUUUAUUAAGGUCAGAUUGCAGUGUUAUAAUGUCGUUAGGGCUAGCCAUAUAUCUCUCUGUAAAUCACACAAUCAUCGGCAAAAAGGCGAACUGUUGAAUUAAUAUUUAAUGCUAUGUCAUUAAUGUAUAUCAUCAUGUAUCAUUUAGCGCUUCAUCUUGAAACAAGACCGGCGAGCGCACACUUUCUUGUACGGAAUUCUGCUGUACAAUAACAGAUGGACGCAUUGUGAGUGAAGAACAGAAACGAUGGAUGGUUAGGCUGCUUGACUCUCGGCAUGUUUGAAUGGGCAAAGUUCCGAAUUUGUCGCUGUGUGGUGUAUGUUUGUGUGCUCGUCAUGUGCCGUCAUAGCGCGGGUAUACUUGCGCGGAAUGUGUUUCACUCGGCUACAAAACUUUGCACGCUGCGGCAUCGAACACGCACCAGUACGUGUGCAAACUACGGGAAGGUGAUCGAAGAUGAGGGAUAUAGCACUGUGUGUACUGUCAAAAGGAAAGAAAGAAAGAAAAAGAAAAAAACGCCCUGUCCCGAGUUGGCAUAAUGAUUCAACCUUUAUUUCUUUUUUAACCCGACAUGUAACACCAUUUAUUACAUGAGCUUUAUCCGUGGGUAAAAGUAAUGGCACAACUCAUUAUUUGCCCGUUCAUUACAUGCACCAGCCAGUCCAAAUUAACACUAUACUAGAGCUUAUUGACGCAUCGCAUUACACUCUAGCACGGCAUUGCAACGCUCACCGGACUCUCGUCUGGUUGACUUCUCUGCCUUUCCUCUCCUUGCUUUCUCUAUCUCUUUGUAUACAAUGUAUACAAAGAGAUAUCUCUUUGGGCAAUGUAUACAAUGUAUACAAUGCCCUGUGGCAGAGAAAGCGAUCUCCUCUUCCAGAGUUCAAUUAUUUGUCAAGCAAUCAUUUUACUCUUCCAACAACUACUGCAUAAAUGGGAAAACGAAACCGAUUUUGUUUUGUUCUCCGCGCUCCCAGCACCAGGUGGAACCACGCGCGGCGCUUCCGAUCUCGGAGGAUGUAACAAGACGAGCGGUUGACGAAGCUGCAUUGUGUAGCCAGCCGGUUUAUCUUUUUAUGUUGUACAGUUUGUUAGUUUACCGUAAAUAUGUCUUGAUUUGUACUCAAGAGUGGAGCAAGGCCCUAUGGAACAGAGAUUGACGCAUCGUGAGCGAAGAACAGACGCGAUGGAUGGUUAGGCUGCUUGACUCUCGGCUGUACGACUCUCGGCAUGUUAGGACUGGCAAAGUUCCGAAUUUGUCGCGGUGUGGUGUACGCUUCUGUGCUCGUCAAGUGCCGUCAGAGCGCGGGGAUGUUUGAACGGAAUGUGUCCCUUCGUCUACAAAACUCUGCACGCUGCGGCAUCGAAGUCCUGUGUACGGGUGCACGUAUGCGCUUGGAUACGGGAUAGCCUGCCCUCAACGGAUGUUCAACAGUGUACGCACGCUGCGCGUACGCGUACGUAUGAGACUAGUUGCUGGUGUCCUGCUGGAGCUGAGAAGAGAUCUGCUGCCUGCCAUGAGACCAUGUCUCUCAAGUUACCGCAAUAUUGUUGCCUUCAAAGGGAGACGGCUCUCACAACUGGAGAAGCCUGGGAAGCAUGCAGUACUCCACAAAACCGGUUUCAACGUAAAAUGUGUCUGCAUCUCAUAAUUUCAUGGCUGCAAGAGUGAGCCCAAUGGUAAACACAUCUGAGUGUUCAUGAUGUCAUGCAUUAUCCACUUUAUCUGCACGUCAUACCUAUCUUGACAAAGCUGAUAUUGCCUUUAGAGAAAUUGUAGAUGUUGUGAGCUUGCAUUUCAGAACGCACAACAAGCUUAACACGUACAACACCAGAACAAUUUGUUGAGAAUUUCGGAUCAGGAAUCUUCGAAGCACAAUUUGUUUAGUGGUGUUAAGAUUCUGCUUAAGGUUGUUGAUUAUUACAUUCAUAUAGUGUUCAAGCAUUGCUGUAACAACAUUCUUCGCUUGGAGUACAUAGUAAGGGUGUACUCCACAUGAGCUGGUGGCAUUUUGCUCCAUAUUCAAAAACUGGUUUCUUCUUCAGUUGAGAUUUUCAAGUUUGCAUUCUUUAUUAGCUGUUGUAUGUAACCUAUCCUAAAUGUUUGAAUAGUGAACACAACGUGACCUUUUUGAUUGAUUUUGUGGAUUGUACACCCUUGCUGCAAACAAUUUGAGAUGAUAACUGUUUCCGCCUUAAUGAAAAAUAAUUGCUUGAAGCAGCCAUAGCCACCAAUAAUACUAGCAUGACACGAUUAUGAAAAUUGUGAUAUUGUACUUUGAUUUAUAAUGUUUUUAAACAUAUGGAGCUCUGCCUGUGGUGUAAAUGGGUUCCUGAUAUCCAUUCGUGAUGCAAGAAUUUGAAGAAUAAACUGAAGCAAGAAUGUUUACUUACUUUUCAAGAGAAGCUCAUGGCAAUUUCCUCAUGAAAAGUAAAAUAACUAGAAAUAACUUUACUGAGCUGAGAAGAGUGCUACAAUUGUCUCAUUCGAAUAGUGCCAUAUACAGAAGCUACAACAAAUGUUUACUAUUUUGGUUGCAUUUGUAUAUAUGGUCUUGUCACGUGUUGCAAGCUGUAUUCAGAAUGGCCACAGCUCAGUCAUGAUUGUGGCAUUGUGCAAUGAAGUACCGCUGGCAUCACCCGGAAAGUGUCGCAAAGUUACAAAUACAACUUUGAAUGGGUUCUUUUAGGAAAAAAGACUUAGCUCAGAAAAUUAUCCUUUUUUAUGCAGCCUGUCGAGACAAGGUUUCUUUACAUGGCCAUGGCGCUCAAGGAAGAAACCGAGACUGUAGACUGCCAACGUUCAUUCCUGUUCCGGCAAAGACGGGCCAGCAGUAACCAGCAGGAUUUUACAAAGUGAACUCAUCACAGCUUGAGCCACUCCAUGCCACAAGCAGUUGCUCCUCGAGCCACCGUGCAAAGGUUCCUUGGGGCACAAGUCCAACUCAGCGCCACAACCUUUCUUCUGCAGUUUUUCUACCUACUUAGCUAACCAGCAGCAAGUUUAUCCUUGCAAGGCAUGUGGGAACAGCUUUCACCAGGAAACAGUGCAAGACGAGUGGUCGAAGAAAAUAAAAUUGCUUCUGUGAUCUAAAGUACUUGACGAAUAAAAUUUUGCACUUAUUUGUAUAUAUGUCGUGCAAUUCAUUCAUAUCACAAAAAGCAAAGUGUUUGAUCUUUUGAGCUAUUUCAAUGUGUUGGCCAGACAGUUUUCUCCAUAGCGACCUGCUGCUUCUGCAAUGAGCUGCAUUCAUGACAUUUGCAUUAAAGGAUAUGUACUAUCGGGGACAAAAGUGCCCAGGACGUGCGAGUGUCGACCAAAUUGCAUCUCUGCACUAUCAGCCGCUAUCAUCUGCGUUGCAGACCACUUUCCGAAUGCAAAUGUUAGCGUGGCUGAUCCCAGCAGAAAGUGCACCAAUAAAAUUCGGUCGUCAUUCGCACAUUUUGGGCACUUCUGUCCCCGAUAGUACAUUCUCUAAAUAAUCAAUAUGCUCUGUAAAACAUAAUGCAUGAAACACCUCUAUUUUAACGAUUGGACCGUAUAGUACAGAUUUAGCAUACGGAGCCUUUUUAUUUCUGAGUACGGAAACACCUGUAUGUUAACGGUUGGACCGUAUAGUAGAGAUUCAGCAUACAGAGUCUUUUGUUUUCUGGAUACAGAAACACCUGUAUUUUAACGGUUGGACCGUAUAGUACAAAUUCAGCAUACGGAGCCUUUCGUUUCCUGGAUACGAAAACACCUGUAUUUUAACGGUUGGACCGUAUACUACAGAUUCAAUAUACAGCGCCUUCCGUUUUCUGAAUACGGAAAGCACCUGUACAUUAACGGUCGAACCAUACGAUUCAGCAUACAGAGUCUUCCGUUUUCUGAAUACAUAAGCACUCGUAUUUUGUAAUACGGUCUCUAUUUUUACGGUUGUCCGUUCUACGGAAAUGACCGUUCUUUACUUACGGAAAGUGUUCGGUCACAAA